GAAAUGCGAUAAGUAAUGUGAAUUGCAGAAUUCCGUGAAUCAUCGAAUCUUUGAACGCACAUUGCGCCCUCUGGCAUUCCGGGGGGGAUGCCUGUCCGAGCGUCAUUACGCACCCACAAGCCCGGCUUGUGUGAUGGGCCCCGGCGUCUCGUUCGCGAGACGGGCCCGAAAGGCAGCGGCGGCGUCGACCCGAUGAGCCCGAGCGUAUGGGGACUUCUGUCACACGUUCGCGGUGCGGACCGGUGCCUGCUUGACUUUUCUGAUUAUCCAGGUUGACCUCGGAUCAGGUAGGGAUACCCGCUGAACUUAAGC
Molecule: unclassified non-coding RNA, 312 nt
Filed under: plant metagenome
Description: partial contains 5.8S ribosomal RNA, internal transcribed spacer 2, and large subunit ribosomal RNA
Rfam family: 5.8S ribosomal RNA (bases 1-105)
Source: RNAcentral